UACGUAGGUGGCACGCGUUGUCCGGAAUUAUUGGGCGUAAAGCGCGCGCAGGCGGGCCUUUAAGUCGGAUGUGAAAGCCCACGCCUCAACCGCGGAGGGUCAUUGGAAACUGGAGGACUUGAGUGCAGAAGAGGAAAGUGGAAUUCCAUGUGUAGCGGUGAAAUGCGUAGAGAUGUGGAGGAACACCAGUGGCGAAGGCGACUGUCUGGUCUGUAACUGACGCUGAGGCGCGAAAGCGUGGGGAGCAAACAGG
Molecule: unclassified non-coding RNA, 253 nt
Filed under: uncultured Caryophanaceae bacterium
Lineage: Bacteria; Bacillati; Bacillota; Bacilli; Caryophanales; Caryophanaceae
Description: uncultured Planococcaceae bacterium contains 16S-23S intergenic spacer region
Rfam family: Bacterial small subunit ribosomal RNA
Source: RNAcentral